This 251-nucleotide ribosomal RNA is filed under the name Clostridioides difficile. RNAcentral's name for it is "partial 16S ribosomal RNA". It matches the Rfam family "Bacterial small subunit ribosomal RNA", at positions 486 to 737 of the family's 1533-position model. Lineage: Bacteria; Bacillati; Bacillota; Clostridia; Peptostreptococcales; Peptostreptococcaceae. The record is from RNAcentral.
GGAAGCCCCGGCUAACUACGUGCCAGCAGCCGCGGUAAUACGUAGGGGGCUAGCGUUAUCCGGAUUUACUGGGCGUAAAGGGUGCGUAGGCGGUCUUUCAAGUCAGGCGUGAAAGGCUACGGCUCAACCGUAGUAAGCUCUUGAAACUGGGAGACUUGAGUGCAGGAGAGGAGAGUGGAAUUCCUAGUGUAGCGGUGAAAUGCGUAGAUAUUAGGAGGAACACCAGUUGCGAAGGCGGCUCUCUGGACUGU